This 294-nucleotide ribosomal RNA is filed under the name Escherichia coli. Its description in RNAcentral is "partial 23S ribosomal RNA". It matches the Rfam family "Bacterial large subunit ribosomal RNA", at positions 1085 to 1378 of the family's 2925-position model. Lineage: Bacteria; Pseudomonadati; Pseudomonadota; Gammaproteobacteria; Enterobacterales; Enterobacteriaceae. The record is from RNAcentral.
CCAGACAGCCAGGAUGUUGGCUUAGAAGCAGCCAUCAUUUAAAGAAAGCGUAAUAGCUCACUGGUCGAGUCGGCCUGCGCGGAAGAUGUAACGGGGCUAAACCAUGCACCGAAGCUGCGGCAGCGACACUAUGUGUUGUUGGGUAGGGGAGCGUUCUGUAAGCCUGUGAAGGUGUACUGUGAGGUAUGCUGGAGGUAUCAGAAGUGCGAAUGCUGACAUAAGUAACGAUAAAGCGGGUGAAAAGCCCGCUCGCCGGAAGACCAAGGGUUCCUGUCCAACGUUAAUCGGGGCAGG